Bos taurus (domestic cattle) is the source of this 1971-nucleotide long non-coding RNA. The record is from Ensembl. Lineage: Eukaryota; Metazoa; Chordata; Mammalia; Artiodactyla; Bovidae.
GGUCGCCCGGCCUCUGUGCGGCUCUAGGUGCUGCCCUGGGAAGGGCUGCCCCGGCCGCGGGCCGGACAUCCUCGGUCCAAGCUGAGCAGAUGAAAGCAGAAGCGAGGUCCGCCGGCCUGGAGCUGAGUGUUUUCAAAAACUAGACUGGAUGGGAGAAAGGAGCUCCGGUCUGCUUUGAGAGCGGGGAGCAAAACCUCGGCUGCCCACCUGGGAGAAGCUGACAUCUCCCACGGACCCUGCAAAGCCUGGAGGCUGCUGAGCCCCUUCGGGGGAUGCUCAGAAGGGGGAAAACGGUUUCCGCACACCCGGCGCGACAGUUAUCAAGCAAACCUCUACUGCUGUGAAGUCGCUGUGGGCGUGAUGCUUUCAGGGUAUCCUCUGGCCUCGCCGAACGGUGGAGGGAGGCGGCAGGUGGAAAACGUGGCGAGAGAGCUGGCAUCACUUGACUGGAAGCUUAUCUUCAGUUAUUUUAACGGAGGUGCCAAUCUCCGCUCCCCUGAGGGUCACGAGUCUUGUGUGUUUCGCUUUGUUUGGGCAGCACGGGCCUUACUGCACUGAUGGUCAUCGUAACAAGAUCACAGCAAUGUGGUUAACAACAAUUACACCCACGGACGAGGAAAAUACACUGAGCCAGUGAUGCCAUCCAGCCGUGGACAAAACACACAGCCUGGAGACCUGGGAUCGCGCUGACUGAUCACAGGCAUAGUCUAAACGAGCGGCGGUGGACCCAGCGCCGUCGAGGUCUAAACAGGCCCCGACCCCCUUUGUCUUUCUACUGGUGGCCCCGAAGGGUGGAAUGGAUGAGGAAGUAAAGCCCGCACAGCUCACCGUUAGACGCACAAAGCAGCGAACGGCCAGCCCGAGCAGCUUGCAAACUUGCCAAGCGACCUCCAACGUGGGACUCGGGGCUUUGAGACGGGCCAGCUGUGAUGCUGCCGGUGAGCUCACAGGUGCUGUCAUCCUUGAAGGCGCCCAUCCGCAUCCUCCACGCUGCCCACGAACGGCUCAGAAUCGAGCUCUCCCCAGUCAACGUGGGGGGCCUUUAACCUACAUCUUGGGAUGAUGCCCUGCUAAUCUAGCAUUCUCCUCCAAGUUCAGAAAUUGGUUUCUGGUGAAUACUUCCAGCUUCCACAGGACCUUGAUUAAAAACCCCUCCCUCCUUUACUUACAGUCAACAUUGGUAAAGACACUCUCUGACUCUUGCCUUAUAUGUCUCCCUUAAAAUGACAGUCCUCUCAUCACUAACAUAGCAGAUUUCAGGGGCGUCAAACCCUGUAGAUCAUGCCUCCUCCUAGGUGUCUAACGGGAACCCCCAGAACAACCAGUCUGGGCACCAACAGGCCGCAUGUCAUCACCAAGUUCCCAGAUGCUGCACAGCGCUUAUGGGCUUGAGAUUUAAAAGCCAUCAAUCAAAAAUCACCUUCCACAUUGCUCUGAUCUUAUUUGUUCAAAAGAGAUGCCACCCGUUACUGCAUUUCAGUUGAUAUAAUGCCAGUAAAGUGGAUGUAUAAAAAAGCGAUUCCUAAGAGGUGGAGUUGCCCUUGAUAGCAAUCACUAGAGGUCCUCUUCCUGCUUUCUGUACCUCCUGGCUCCGGUGCUGUGACCACCCCACGCCCUGGACGCUGUGUGUCUGACACCUGCAUCUCGGGAGUCGGGCCGCAGCAGGCACACGGGCACGGACUCGGGGGUGUGCUUCUGCACCCAAGUCCUGGUUCCGCCCCUCCUGAGCUCUGUGUCCCCCAGCCCAGGAAGUCCUUUAACCGUUUUGUGCCUCAGUCUGCUCAUCUAUAAAAUGGGAUGGCAAUUCCCACCACCAAAGGUUAUUAGGAACCACAAGGGAAUUAAUGUUUGCACAGCACUUAAAACAGCACCCAGGACUCCCCUGGUGGCCCAGGGGUUGGGACUCUGAGCUUCCACUGCGGGGGGCUUGGGUCUGAUCCCUGAUGGGAAAACUAAGAUCCCUCAUGCUGC